GAUGAACGCUCGCUACAGGCUUAACACAUGCAAGUCGAGGGGAAACGACAUCGAAAGCUUGCUUUUGAUGGGCGUCGACCGGCGCACGGGUGAGUAACGCGUAUCCAACCUGCCCACCACUUGGGGAUAACCUUGCGAAAGUAAGACUAAUACCCAAUGACGUCUCUAGAAGACAUCUGAAAGAGAUUAAAGAUUUAUCGGUGAUGGAUGGGGAUGCGUCUGAUUAGCUUGUUGGCGGGGUAACGGCCCACCAAGGCGACGAUCAGUAGGGGUUCUGAGAGGAAGGUCCCCCACAUGGGAACUGAGACACGGUCCAAACUCCUACGGGAGGCAGCAGUGAGGAAGAUUGGUCAAGGGAAGAGAGUCUGAACCAGCCAAGUAGCGUGCAGGAUGACGGCCCUAUGGGUUGUAAACUGCUUUUAGAAGGGAAUAAAGUGAGUCUCGUGAGACUUUUUGCAUGUACCUGAUGAAUAAGGACCGGCUAAUUCCGUG
Molecule: ribosomal RNA, 492 nt
Filed under: uncultured bacterium
Lineage: Bacteria
Description: partial 16S ribosomal RNA
Rfam family: Bacterial small subunit ribosomal RNA
Source: RNAcentral